AAAGCGCGCGUAGGUGGUUCGUUAAGUUGAAUGUGAAAUCCCCGGGCUCAACCUGGGAACUGCAUCCAAAACUGGCGAGCUAGAGUAUGGUAGAGGGUGGUGGAAUUUCCUGUGUAGCGGUGAAAUGCGUAGAUAUAGGAAGGAACACCAGUGGCGAAGGCGACCACCUGGACUGAUACUGACACUGAGGUGCGAAAGCGUGGGGAGCAAACAGGAUUAGAUACCCGUGU
This 230-nucleotide ribosomal RNA is filed under the name uncultured bacterium. RNAcentral describes it as "partial 16S ribosomal RNA". It matches the Rfam family "Bacterial small subunit ribosomal RNA", at positions 562 to 791 of the family's 1533-position model. The record is from RNAcentral.